Molecule: long non-coding RNA, 2493 nt
Organism: Salvia splendens (bonfire salvia)
Lineage: Eukaryota; Viridiplantae; Streptophyta; Magnoliopsida; Lamiales; Lamiaceae
Exons: 7
Source: RefSeq, a predicted model, not a curated record
UGUAUGUCUGCAUUUUACUCCAUUUCCUCUGCGUUUAAUGCACUGUGUUUUUAUAGACAUCAGAGGAUUCGUUCCCUUCAACACACCCAUCAAGGAAUUAAUCCCAGCCCAAAUAAAUUACCCUUUCUAUCUAAAAUUCUUUUUCGAUUUGAAUUCCCCCAAAUUAGAAUUCCCGUUAGAAAAAGUAUCACUCCCAUUAACCGCCUCACUUUCUAGUCUCGACUUCUCCGGCUGCGACGACGCCUCCGAUUCCGGCUGCUCAUCGUGGCUCCAGGCGCCGCCGACGUCGAAGCAAUCUCCGUUCCCAGCGGCGCGUUACUGAGUGGUAGUGUUGGGGGCGAAGUUGUAGUUUGUGAUAAUGCGUGCAAAUUAAGCUACAAAAAAUGGGUGUAGGUGAUUAGGUGUAUUAUGGAGUUUUAAUUUGUUAAAUUUCUUGGCGGUAUUGUCCUUUUCCUUGUUUAUUUGUAUUUUCCUGCUAUUUUGUGUUCCUUUUUGGAAUUUCACUGUCUUUGUUGCAUGUCAGUGUUUAUUUAAAUCGACGAGGCGGGAUACACGUCACCGUCGACCUCCUCACGGACUCACCGUCUGAUUUCGGUGCCGCCGAUUCUCUCCGAGCGGCUCUCCAGAAUCCACCAAGCAGUCGUUGCAGCGGUGGACUGCCGUGGACUUCUCGGCCUAACUAAGUUGUUUCCAUUAACUUUCCAGUUUAUAAAUUUUAUCUUCCGGUUUGGCUAGAUAUGUUAGGGAGUUAGAUCUGGGUCAUGAUAUAUGGGUUCCCAUCUUGAUUUGUGAAGCUAUUAAACUUAUUGUGAUGUCCAAACAUUCUUGGGUUGAAAGAGCAGGUCAUCGCUUGUUUAUUUGUAGAUUGGUGUUAUUCCUUUGAGCAUUUAUCUUAGAAUUUGGUCUCAGCCAUUUUGCAAGCUAGACCCACUGACUGACUUUAUUUCUCUCUCGAUUUUGAUGGUGAAACAGUUGUGUGAUGCUGGAACUGUAGUUUGUUGGGAACUCUGCAGAGGUCAAAUCUUCAAUUUCUUGGCUUGUUGUAUUAGGGAUGUACUCGUAGAAAUUAAUAGGGUUGUUCUAAAUGUUACUGUUUAUGUUACAGAUAUUGUUAUUGGUAUUUAUACUUCGGAAUGCACAUGUUGGAAUUACAUGAUUAUUGCAGGUUGACAUGGAAAAAUAUGCAAGGAAUCUUCCUCGUCACCUUAUUGCAGUGAUUAUAGAUUGGGAAAUGGACAAAUCCACAUUCAAGUAUUUGCUAUGUGGAAUUCUUCUCUUGCAUUCCAUGAUUCAUCUUGCCUCUCGAGUGCCCAAAAUUGAACAGAUAUUGCUUGAUGAUGUGAAGAUAUCAGAGCAACUGAUUGACCUGGUCUUCAAUCUGCUAGUUCUACUUGGUCCAUACAGACAUGAAUCUCACACCAUACCCAAUGGCAUGGUUCUUCUUCAUUCGGCUCUGGUAGUUUGUAUUAUAAAAUUGUUUCUCCACGCUACCAAGAGGUUGCUCAAGCAUUGAAUGCAUAUUACAAGGUAGCAAUCCAGGAUUUGGUGAAAACUAAGAACAUUAAAUUACUUGUUUAAUGGUGUACAUAUUCAUAGAGGCAGAAUUUGCUGCUGUUUGUGUAGAUGUCAAGUUUCUGCAGACCAACGAUUCAUCUGGAAGUGCUUUCCCUACUACUGAAGAGACCUUGAAUCACCUCUGCCAGAGUGUGAUUCUUCUCUUCAAUUUCUACAGUCCUUGUGUCAGCAAAAGUUGUUCCGGGAAUGCAUUGUGAAGAACAAGAUUUUAUCCUUUCAUCUGAUUAGAGUUUUCACUGCCUGAAAGCAUUGACAUUUCUUUAAAAUGUCAAAUGUGGUGAAUACAUGUUUCUGCUCCAGGGAACUUGAGCUGGAAUUUCUAUUUUGCAUACAUGUUUCUGCUCCGGGACUUCAUUUAUUUCUGUCCAAGUGAGAUAGUAAGAGAUUCCAUAAUCAGCUUGAUUUGCUUAUGUGGCUGCAGCUUUAUCUGAUGCAUGUUGAUUUGUUGCACCUUUGUGAAGCUGAAAGUGUAUCCUACCUGGAAGAGGUGGCCAGCAAAACAUCAACUCAGGAUGUGUCAAAGUCUGUUGGACUCAAGGUUCUUGCGUUGCUAAAAAAAUGUUUAAUGCUCCCUCUGAGGCAAGCUACCCGAAGGGGCAACUGGAACUUAAUGCAAUGCGCUUGGCAGAUGUCUUGUCAGAUGAUUCAAAUUUUCUGUUAUUCAUCAUGAUAAACUUUGUAAGCUUUCCAUCAGUACAACUAAUUUUAAAAUUUUAGAGUGCUAUGGAUUCCAUGCCAUGGUUUCUUUGCUAUUCAUGAUUGAAGGUCGAAAAGACUCGAAGCAUGACAUCUGAGUUUCUUAGAAAAUGUCUUUGCCUAUUUGAACACACCAAUGAUGUGCUUGAAGAGAUAUUUUGAUCAAAUUGCUGGUUUUAACAAAUGGAUGUUAAUUUUAUGAAAGUAACUUUUAAAUGAAAA